AUUGAACGCUGGCGGCAUGCCUUACACAUGCAAGUCGAACGGCAGCCCGGGUUCUUGCACCUGGUGGCGAGUGGCGAACGGGUGAGUAAUACAUCGGAACAUGUCCUGUAGUGGGGGAUAGCCCGGCGAAAGCCGGAUUAAUACCGCAUACGAUCUACGGAUGAAAGCGGGGGACCUUCGUGCCUCGCGCUAUAGGGUUGGCCGAUGGCUGAUUAGCUAGUUGGUGGGGUAAAGGCCUACCAAGGCGACGAUCAGUAGCUGGUCUGAGAGGACGACCAGCCACACUGGGACGGAGACACGGCCCAGAGGCCUACGGGAGGAAGCAGUGGGGAAUUUUGGACAAUGGGCGAAAGCCUGAGCCAGCAAUGCCGCGUGUGGGAAGAAGGCCUUCGGGUUGUAAAGCACGUUUGUCCGGAAAGAAAUCCUUGGCUCUAAAACAGUCGGGGGAUGACGGUACCGGAAGAAUAAGCACCGGCUAACUACGUG
This 486-nucleotide ribosomal RNA is filed under the name uncultured bacterium. RNAcentral's name for it is "partial 16S ribosomal RNA". It matches the Rfam family "Bacterial small subunit ribosomal RNA", at positions 29 to 507 of the family's 1533-position model. The record is from RNAcentral.